RNAcentral lists this ribosomal RNA (253 nucleotides) under uncultured bacterium. RNAcentral's name for it is "partial 16S ribosomal RNA". It matches the Rfam family "Bacterial small subunit ribosomal RNA", at positions 524 to 776 of the family's 1533-position model. The record is from RNAcentral.
UACAGAGGUCCCGAGCGUUGUUCGGAUUCACUGGGCGUAAAGGGUGCGUAGGUGGUGAGAUAAGUCGGAUGUGAAAGCUCGGAGCUCAACUCCGAAAUGGCAUUGGAAACUAUCUCGCUCGAGGGUUGGAGGGGGGACUGGAAUGCUUGGUGUAGCAGUGAAAUGCGUAGAUAUCAAGCGGAACACCAGUGGCGAAGGCGAGUCCCUGGACAACUCCUGACACUGAGGCACGAAGGCCAGGGGAGCAAACGGG